CGCUCUUUGCUAUAUAAAUAUAAGGAGUCGGACCUGCCCAGUGAAUUUUUUAACGGCCGCAGUACCCUGACUGUGCUAAGGUAGCAUAAUCAUUUGCCUUUUAAUUGGAGGCUGGAAUGAAUGGUUUGACGAGAACUUAACUGUCUCUUCUGUAUUAUAUAAAAAUUAAUUUUUAGGUGAAGAAGCCUAAAUUUAUUCGAUAGACGAAAAGACCCUAUCGAGCUUAAAGGUUUAGGUUAAGUUAAAGACUUUAGAAUAGUUGUUCUUAUAUUAAUUCUUUUUGUUGGGGCGACAGAAGAACAAAUAAAGCUUCUUUUAAUUUUAUAAACUUAUUUGUUAUAGUGAUCUUCAGAUAUUGACAAGAAAGAAAAGUUACCGUAGGGAUAACAGCGUUAUUUUUUUGGAAAGUUCAAAUUGAAGGAAAAGAUUGCGACCUCGAUGUUGGAUUAGAAAACCUAAUUGGCGGAGAAGCUAAUUUGAGGAGGUCUGUUCGACCUUUAAAUUUCUACA
Molecule: ribosomal RNA, 510 nt
Filed under: Stenoplax alata
Lineage: Eukaryota; Metazoa; Mollusca; Polyplacophora; Chitonida; Ischnochitonidae
Description: partial 16S ribosomal RNA
Rfam family: Bacterial large subunit ribosomal RNA
Source: RNAcentral